GGCCUUGACAUACUAAGAACUUUCCAGAGAUGGAUUGGUGCCUUCGGGAACUUAGAUACAGGUGCUGCAUGGCUGUCGUCAGCUCGUGUCGUGAGAUGUUGGGUUAAGUCCCGNAACGAGCGCAACCUUUUCCUAUUUGCCAGCGGGUCAUGCCGGGAACUUUAAGGAUACUGCCAGUGACAAACUGGAGGAAGGCGGGGACGACGCCAAGUCAUCAUGGCCCUUACGGCCAGGGCUACACACGUGCUACAAUGGUCGGUACAAAGGGUUGCUACCUCGCGAGAGGAUGCUAAUCUCAAAAAGCCGAUCGUAGUCCGGAUCGCAGUCUGCAACUCGACUGCGUGAAGUCGGAAUCGCUAGUAAUCGCGGAUCAGAAUGCCGCGGUGAAUACGUUCCCGGGCCUUGUACACACCGCCCGUCACACCAUGGGAGUUUGUUGCACCAGAAAUAGGUAGUCUAACCGCAAGGAGGACGCUUACCACGGUGUGGCCGAUGACUGGGGUGAAGUCGUAACAAGGUAAGCGUAGAUGA
This 531-nucleotide ribosomal RNA is filed under the name uncultured bacterium. Its description in RNAcentral is "bacterial SSU rRNA". It matches the Rfam family "Bacterial small subunit ribosomal RNA", at positions 977 to 1509 of the family's 1533-position model. The record is from RNAcentral.